Molecule: non-coding RNA, 1122 nt
Organism: Paramuricea clavata
Lineage: Eukaryota; Metazoa; Cnidaria; Anthozoa; Malacalcyonacea; Plexauridae
Source: the annotation of a GenBank genome assembly
CAAAAAUACAAUCAAUACUAAAAAAGCGAGAAUUAGUGAUGACAUUUAAACCACUUAGGUGUAUGGCUCCAGAAUUAUAUUUAACACAGAUGUUUCAUAAGACGAUUUAAACGAAGCUUCUCCUACAGAGGAGCAGUUUCAUGGAAAAAAAAUAAAUAAUAAUAAUUAUUAUUAUUAUUAUUAUUAUUAUUAUUAUUAUAAUUAUUAUUGUUUUUAUUAUUAUUAUUUUUUUCCAAAUUUUAAUGGAAAAACUUCCUAUAGUAAAAAUACCUGAAUAUAAAAAUACUUGAAUAUAAUUUUAUCGGUUCUUUCAUGAGGCUAAUCAAUAGCUUGUGUUUUUGAAUUGGGAGGUCAUCCUGCCUUAUGUAAAUAGUGUAUAUUAUGUAAUGUCACUGAAAGGAAGGCUGGUCGCGCCGGGUUGGGGAAAUUUUCAAGAUUUUCAAAAAAAAAGUUUAAUUAAAAUAGUUUUAAAAAAGUUUAAAAAAGCAAAAAAAGUUUAAAAAGUUAGAUUUUCAAAAAAGUUUAAAAAGUUAGAUUAGGGUUAGGGUUAGUGGUUAGGGGUAAGGGUUGGGUUAGGGGUUAGGUGCCGCGAAUUUAUCAUUAUGCCAGAUAAAUUCAAAUUCAAAAUGUGCUGCGAACUUAUCAUAAUGAUAAAUUCGGACGUGUUUAAGAAUUUACUCAUAUAGUAAAUUUAAAAGGUGGAGCUCACGCAGAACUUCUCGAUAAUUACAUCAUGAAUACGUUCUUGGAAUGGGAGCCCUCGCUCCCAUGGAUCAAGACAGAAGGCGAUUGGCUCAGGACUCAUGAACGUAUUCAUGACGUAUAAUUAUCGAAAAAGUGUAUUGUUAUAUUUUGCUAAUCACUUAUACGUCUAAUAUUUAUGCUAAUCACGAUCAAGCGAUUUUAAAUUCCCAAUGUGGUAUUGAUAUGCAUGUUCACAAGCAACUUUCUGCAACGUUUAAUAAAAAGUUUUAAAAUUCAGUACAUUCUGCCGGGUUUACUUCUCAAUUGGGUUAGACGGGCGAAUACUGGUGGAACUCAUAGGAAUUCGUAAAUUAUAUAUCGCUUUGUAACGCAAAACCAAAACGGUUAUCGUGGAACGUAGCAAUCAUAACUACAGCG